UAUCUGGUUGAUCCUGGCCAGUAGUCAUAUGCUUGUCUCAAAGAUUAAGCCAUGCAUGUCUAAGUACAACCCUUAAUACGGUGAAACGCGCGAAUGGUCAUUAAAUCAGCUAUGGUUCCUUAGAUCGUCUCAUCCUAUCUCGAUAACUGUGGAAAAAAUCCUAGAGCUAAUACGUGCUUACAAGCCCUGACCUCCACGGGAGGGGCGCAUUUAUUAGAUCAAAACCAAUCGGGCUUGCCCCGUCUGCUUGUGUACUCUGGAUAACUUUUUGUGCUGAUCGCAUGGCCUCGCGCUGGCGACGUACUUUCAAGUGUCCUGCCCCUAUCAACUUACGAUUGGUAGGUGAUAUGCCUACCAUGGUUAUAACGGUAACGGGAAUCAGGGUUCGAUUCCGGAGAGGGAGCCUGAGAACGGCUACCACAUCUAAGGAAGGCAGCAGGCGCGCAAAAUUAACCCACUCCGCACGGGGAGGUAGUGACGAAAAUAAGAUACGGGACUCUUGAGGCCCCGAUAAUUGGAAUGAAGUACAACUUUAAAUCCGUUAAAAAGUAUCUAUUGAGGGCAAAGUCCUGGUGCCAGCAGCCGGGCGGUAAUUCCAGCUCCCAAUACGUAUAAUUAAUGUUGCUGCAGUUAAAAAGCUCGUUAGUUUGGAUCUGAGGACUCGAAUUGGUGGUGGGGCAGCCAUACGGUGUUACUGCCGAUUCGGCCUACCUAAGUCGUGGCUCGCUCUUGUGUUCUUUAAUUGUAAUGCCCUGAGUGCCCGCAAGUUUACUUUGAUAAAAAUUAGAGUGGCUCAAGCAGCCAUUAGCCGGAAUACUUCAGAUGGAAUAAUGGAAUACGGCUUCGGUUCUAUUUUGUUGGUUUUUUCGAACGCCGAGGUAAAUGAUUAAGAAGACAGACGGGGGCAUUCGUAUGCGUGGUGUUAGAGGUGAAUUCUUAGAUCGCCGCAAGACGAACUAACAUGCGAAAGCAUUGCCAACGAAUGUUUUCAUUAAUCAAGAACGAAAGUCAGAGGUUCGAAGAACGAUCAGAUACCGUCCUAUUCUGACCAUAAACGAUGCCAACUGGCGAUCCCGAGAUCGUUUGCUUAUUGACCUCUCGGGCUAAGGCCCCUCACGGGAACCAAAGUUUUUAGAGUUUUGGGACGGGGGGAAGUAUGCGUUUGCAAUAGCUGGAAACUUAAAGGAACCUUGACGGGAGGGAACACCACCAGGAGUGGAGCUCGCGCGCUCUAAUUUGAGACUCAACACGGGAAAACUCACCCGCCCGACCACUGUUAGCGAUUUGCAGAUUGAGAGCGUCUUUCUUGAUUCGGUGGGGUUGUGGUGCAUGGGCCCUUCUUUAGGCUGAUAGUUGGUGGAGCGAUUACUGUCGGUUAAUUCGAUAACGAACGAGACUCGUAGCCUGCUAAAUAGUACGUGCCGAUACCUUUUCGUCGUGACUGAUCUCUUAGAGGGACAGGCGUCUUGAAAGCGCACGAGAUGAGCAUACAGGUCGUGAUGCCCUUAGAUGUUCGGGGCCGCCACGCGCUGUUACCACUGAAGGCACAUGCGAGUUUUUCCUGGUUCGAAAAGAACCGGGUAAAUCUGAUUGAGAAUUCCCUUCGUUGACAGGGAUCGGGCUUGCAUUAUCCCCAUGAACGAGGAAUUCCCAGUAAGCGAAGGUAUCAGCUGCUUAGAUUACGUCCCUGCCCUUUGUAACACACCGCCGUCGCUACUACGAUUAAUGGUUUAGCAAGGUCCUCGGAUUGGUGCCUUACUUGCGGCAACACUAGUCCGGAUACUGAAAAGAAGAUCAACUUUGAUCUUUAGAGCAUAGUAAAAGUCGUUACAAGGUAUUCCGUAAGGUGAACCUGCGGAAAGGUCAUUC
Molecule: non-coding RNA, 1869 nt
Organism: Macrostomum lignano
Lineage: Eukaryota; Metazoa; Platyhelminthes; Macrostomidae
Source: Rfam